Molecule: long non-coding RNA, 847 nt
Organism: Diceros bicornis minor
Lineage: Eukaryota; Metazoa; Chordata; Mammalia; Perissodactyla; Rhinocerotidae
Exons: 4
Source: RefSeq, a predicted model, not a curated record
UUUGCAGGCCUAAACUUGGGGGAGAGGCCGAAAAAGAGGCUUUUAAUGUUGCGACUCCCGCUGGCCCGACCAGUUUCUUUCGGGUUGAUUUGAGUGAGAUAGAGAUCUUACGGCUGUUUUCUUUCCCCCCUAGCGAUGUUUUGGAGACUGGUAGGAAAAUUUUCUCCUUGGCCUGGGCAGUGGAAUGUCCAAACACCUGAGCCCUAGCUUUACGUAGGGAGAAUGUAGGGAUUGAGUUGCAGUUGCGUAAGAAAUUUUCACUUAUUUUAUGUCUGUUUUUGCCGUAUAUACUUGUUUAACAUUGUCUUUCUUUUCGCUCAUGUGUUUUAGUGGUAUAUAGUGUGAUAUUUAGGUCCUCUGCUUGCACUCAAGGUUAUUAGGCAACCAUUUAGUACACCGAAAUUUUUACCUAAUAAUACCUCAAGUGGCCUGAUCUGGUGCUACAUGUCUCAAGUCUUAGUGGCUGAACCACAUCACAGGAUGCUACCUAAUUUAAGCCAUAGUCCUGGGCUCUCAGAGAAUCCCUUUGCCAGUCUCUUGAAUGAGCUAAGAAGAAGAAAGGGUCAUGCCAACUGGUACCAUAUAAUACAAAGAGAACCUGCUUGAUCAGGUGGCUUCAUUGAGGCCUGCUGUAUCAGGGGCCUGCUGUGUUCACCCACCAAGGUGGACUUUCAAGUUCUUUUAUUCUCAGAUUUUGAACCUCACAUUGUUCUUUUGAGUAAAAUGCACAGAAAGACUGCAGCAGGGAGACAACAACUGUCCAAUUCAUUCAAAUAGUAUCAAUAUGAUUUAAUUAUCUUAGGUGUUGCUUUGCUUUCUGUUAAAUAAAAUAAAUUAAUGUUUAAAA